Long non-coding RNA from Gambusia affinis (western mosquitofish), 1194 nucleotides. RefSeq lists it as uncharacterized. Lineage: Eukaryota; Metazoa; Chordata; Actinopteri; Cyprinodontiformes; Poeciliidae. The record is from RefSeq and is a predicted model, not a curated record. The transcript has 3 exons.
ACCUCUCAACCUUGUGGAUUACUGAGUCAGAGAGCAAGACCCUGUUGUCCGCAAACCCCCCUUCACAUCAGGAUCCCAUAAAAAUCUGGAGCUCGGUGGCUGCAAGCAACGGUUAGAACAGCUUAGACCCAAAAUUAAUUGAUUAAUUGUCAUUGUUAUUAUUAUUAUUAUUAAAUCUAUGUCAACUUGAAAAAAAAAAAAAAAAAAAAAAAAUAGGAAUAAGAUGCGAAGAACGCAGCAGGAGGCAAACGUGGAACCGCGACAAGCUGCUGAACACAAAAGUCUUCAUCAUAAAAGGAAUUCGGAGAAGAGGCUCCCUUUAUGCAGUAUUAUGUCAGCCUUCCUUGCCCGACUGCUUCCAAGCACGCUUGAUGUCACAUUGUCCACCUGAUCAUUUCGCUACCUGCUCUCCUGCUUAAGGCUGCCCUUUCGCUGCUCCACCACUCGAGAUGCUUGGUUGACUCCUCUGAAACCAUCAUGUCGUUGUGUGCUAGAACCCAGCAGGCUGUUCUUCUUCUCUCCUGUCAACUGUGAGCGCAGGCAAGGACUCCUCUACUCAUAUGAUGAUUUCAUAUGAGCGUGCCAGUGUUUACGCUUGUUUUUGUCAGUGUUGCUUGCAUUUUAAAAAGGGCAAUGCAGCUGCAAAGCGAAAUUAAUUUAACUUGUGCAGCUUUUUAAAAAUAAGCUAAUGUCUUGCGCAGCUGCAGCCAUUACUACCUAUCAUGUUUAUGAGUGCCUUUGUAGAUAGGCGCCAGCCCCCUUGACCCUUCAAGGAUAAAUGGUUAGACAAUGGCUAGAUGGAUGCAUGUUUGUGAAUAAAUUGAAAACGUUUUUGUUUUUUACAUGUAAUUCUGUGGUAUUACAAAUAUUAAAUUUAAGUAUUUUACUUAAUGUUUUUGGAUAGUACAACUUCUACUAUUUAGUUAUUGCUAUUAUGUAGAUUCUGUCUCAUUUGUACCAUUUCUGUAUCACCUUCAGGUGGGAAAAUAACAUGUAAUUGGUUGACUGACUUUUUUUCCACAUACAGUGUCUUGCAAAAAUGUUCAUAAUCCUCAAACAUUUAGUCACAUUUCAGCUCCAGAGUACUUUAAUAGGAUUGUAUGUUCUGCACCACUGCAAAGUAGUGCAUCAUUUUGAAGUGGAAUGAAAAUUAUUCAUGGUUUUAAAAGAUUUUUACAAAUAAAAAAAUGUGAA